GUGGGUUUAGCUCAGUGGUAGGGUGCAUGCUUAGCAUGCACAAGGUCCUGGGUUCAAUCCCCAGUACCUCCA
Molecule: transfer RNA, 72 nt
Filed under: Camelus ferus (Wild Bactrian camel)
Lineage: Eukaryota; Metazoa; Chordata; Mammalia; Artiodactyla; Camelidae
Rfam family: tRNA
About the family: Transfer RNA (tRNA) molecules are approximately 80 nucleotides in length. Their secondary structure includes four short double-helical elements and three loops (D, anti-codon, and T loops).
Source: Rfam by way of RNAcentral